GUGUAUAACCUUGGUUACUAUUUGGUUUCACGGGAGCUUGUCCAACUUUAUUGAUUUGAUUUGAGUAUUACAUGAGAUAAUUUCAACUGCAAAGAUCUUUUAUGAACACGAGGUUUAAAACGAUAUUUUACUGAUUUAGUUUGAAAAUGGUUAUUAACCUUCUCGCUGCACAAAAGUUUAUUUAUUUGAUUUGAUAUACAAUAUGGUUGAUUAUGACUUAUAAGAGAUUCUCGAUACUUUCUUUUAUAUAUAUAAGGCACAAAUCUCCAUUUGAAUUAAAUAUUUUUAUCUACUCUUGUAACUUUUACUAUUCAAAAUCUCUACCUUAUUGCUUGUUUCCCAUCUA
This 346-nucleotide long non-coding RNA is filed under the name Theobroma cacao (cacao). Its description in RNAcentral is "long non-coding RNA (TCAC_LNC001830)". The record is from RNAcentral. Lineage: Eukaryota; Viridiplantae; Streptophyta; Magnoliopsida; Malvales; Malvaceae.